CCUCUAGUUAUAUCCUUAACUAUAUUUAUAGUUUCAUAUCCUAUUAUCGAGCGAAAGGGAAACUAGAAGUUUUAGUUUUCCACGUUCCUUAUUCAGUUUUUGGGCCCUGGGAAUCGAGAGACGGCCCUUCUUUCACCCUUUUGGAGGCUCUCAAUAAAAAUAUCUCUGGGUUUUGUCCCCCGUUAUUGUCAAAAGAGUUGAUUUCCGUUGAAGAUGUGUGUGACGGAAUGUUAUCGAGUAUGAUAUCACGAAGCUAUACAAAAGGCUUCAAAAAUUUAAGUAGCCUUGCGAAGCGAGGAUCCGAAAUAGUUGUAAGCUUGAGCCAGCUGGGCGCUCACUCAAACUUUUUU
Zophobas morio is the source of this 350-nucleotide long non-coding RNA. RefSeq lists it as uncharacterized. The transcript has 3 exons. The record is from RefSeq and is a predicted model, not a curated record. NCBI's taxonomy places the organism in Eukaryota, Metazoa, Arthropoda, Insecta, Coleoptera, Tenebrionidae.